AGCGAACGCUGGCGGCAGGCCUAACACAUGCAAGUCGAACGCUCGUAGCAAUACGAGAGUGGCAGACGGGUGAGUAACACGUGGGAACCUUCCCUAUGGUUCGGAAUAGCUCAGGGAAACUUGAGGUAAUACCGGAUAAGCCCUUACGGGGAAAGAUUUAUCGCCAUUGGAUGGGCCCGCGUCGGAUUAGCUAGUUGGUGAGGUAACGGCUCACCAAGGCGACGAUCCGUAGCUGGUCUGAGAGGAUGAUCAGCCACACUGGGACUGAGACACGGCCCAGACUCCUACGGGAGGCAGCAGUGGGGAAUAUUGGACAAUGGGCGCAAGCCUGAUCCAGCCAUGCCGCGUGAGUGAUGAAGGCCCUAGGGUUGUAAAGCUCUUUUGUGCGGGAAGAUAAUGACGGUACCGCAAGAAUAA
This 417-nucleotide ribosomal RNA is filed under the name uncultured bacterium. RNAcentral's name for it is "bacterial SSU rRNA". It matches the Rfam family "Bacterial small subunit ribosomal RNA", at positions 29 to 489 of the family's 1533-position model. The record is from RNAcentral.